RNAcentral lists this transfer RNA (74 nucleotides) under Mediterraneibacter gnavus. RNAcentral describes it as "tRNA-Arg". It matches the Rfam family "tRNA". Rfam says of the family: Transfer RNA (tRNA) molecules are approximately 80 nucleotides in length. RNAcentral also lists the same sequence under 1 other name. Lineage: Bacteria; Bacillati; Bacillota; Clostridia; Lachnospirales; Lachnospiraceae. The record is from RNAcentral.
UAGCAGGAUAGAGCAGUGGAAGCUCGUCAGUCUCCUUAGCUGAAGGUCGGAGGUUCGAUUCCUUCUCCUGCAAU